UGGGGAAUCUUCCGCAAUGGACGAAAGUCUGACGGAGCAACGCCGCGUGAGUGAAGACGGCCUUCGGGUUGUAAAGCUCUGUGAUCCGGGACGAAAGAGCCUGAGGUAAAUAGCCUAAUGAAGUUACGGUACCGGAAAAGCAAGCCACGGCUAACUACGUGCCAGCAGCCGCGGUAAUACGUAGGUGGCAAGCGUUGUCCGGAAUUAUUGGGCGUAAAGCGCGCGCAGGCGGCUUCCUAAGUCCAUCUUAAAAGUGCGGGGCUUAACCCCGAGAUGGGAUGGAAACUGGGAAGCUGGAGUAUCGGAGAGGAAAGUGGAAUUCCUAGUGUAGCGGUGAAAUGCGUAGAGAUUAGGAAGAACACCGGUGGCGAAGGCGACUUUCUGGACGAAAACUGACGCUGAGGCGCGAAAGCGUGGGGAGCAAACAGG
Molecule: ribosomal RNA, 429 nt
Filed under: Fusobacteriota bacterium
Lineage: Bacteria; Fusobacteriati; Fusobacteriota
Description: Fusobacteria bacterium partial 16S ribosomal RNA
Rfam family: Bacterial small subunit ribosomal RNA
Source: RNAcentral